RNAcentral lists this ribosomal RNA (963 nucleotides) under Phycisphaerales bacterium. Its description in RNAcentral is "bacterial SSU rRNA". It matches the Rfam family "Bacterial small subunit ribosomal RNA", at positions 1 to 972 of the family's 1533-position model. The record is from RNAcentral. Lineage: Bacteria; Pseudomonadati; Planctomycetota; Phycisphaerae; Phycisphaerales.
AAAUUGAAGAGUUUGAUCCUGGCUCAGAACGAACGCUGGCGGCGUGGCUAAGACAUGCAAGUCGAACGGACGAUUGAAUUGGGUAACCGAGACAAUCGUUAGUGGCGAAAGGGUGAGGAAUGGAUAGGUAACGUACCUUUGGCUUCGGGAUAGCGUUCCGAAAGGAGCGGUAAUACCGGAUAACAUCACAGAGUGCAGGCUUUGUGAUCAAAGAUUCAUCGGCCAAAGAGCGGCCUAUUCCCUAUCAGCUUGUUGGUGAGGUAACGGCUCACCAAGGCGACGACGGGUAGCGGGACUGAGAGGUUGGCCCGCCACAUCGGGACUGAGACACUGCCCGGACCUCCACGGAGGGCUGCAGUAACGAAUAUUGGGCAAUGGGCGAAAGCCUGACCCAGCGACGCCGCGUGCAGGACGAAGUCCUUCGGGAUGUAAACUGCUGUCAGGGACUAGAAAGCUUCGGUUGAUCAGUCCCAGAGGAAGUCACGGCUAACUUCGUGCCAGCAGCCGCGGUAAUACGAAGGUGGCAAGCGUUGUUCGGAAUCACUGGGCUUAAAGGGCGCGUAGGCGGACCAGAAAGUGUCUUGUGAAAUCCCCCGGCUUAACCGGGGAAUGGCAGGGCAAACUACUGGUCUUGAGGCAAGUAGGGGUGUGUGGAACUCUUGGUGGAGCGGUGGAAUGCGUAGAUAUCAAGAGGAACGCCGAAGGUGAAGACAGCACACUGGACUUGUACUGACGCUGAGGCGCGAAAGCGUGGGGAGCAAACAGGAUUAGAUACCCUGGUAGUCCACGCUGUAAACGAUGCCUACUAGGUUGUGGGGGUUCUGACACUCUCACAGUCGUAGCAAAAGUGUUAAGUAGGCCGCCUGGGGAGUACGGUCGCAAGGCUAAAACUCAAAGGAAUUGACGGGGGCUCACACAAGCGGUGGAGCAUGUGGAUUAAUUCGAAGCAACGCGCAGAACCUU